Molecule: ribosomal RNA, 301 nt
Filed under: uncultured bacterium
Lineage: Bacteria
Description: partial 16S ribosomal RNA
Rfam family: Bacterial small subunit ribosomal RNA
Source: RNAcentral
CAGUCGCCGCGGUAAUACGAAGGGUGCAAGCGUUAAUCGGAAAUACUGGGCGUAAAGCGUGCGUAGGCGGUUUGUUAAGUCUGUUGUGAAAUCCCCGGGCUCAACCUGGGAAUGGCAAUGGAUACUGGCAAGCUAGAGUGUGUCAGAGGAUGGUGGAAUUCCCGGUGUAGCGGUGAAAUGCGUAGAGAUCGGAAGGAACAUCUGUGGCGAAGGCGACUAUCUGGGCCAACACUGACACUGAGGCACGAAAGCGUGGGGAGCAAACAGGAUUAGAUACCCGAGUAGUCCCUGUCUCUUAUAC